AAGCGAGGGAUGAGUGUUAAAUGAGGGCACAGAGAUAGGCGGGAUGGAAAAUAGAAAACAAAAGGGGAGGAGACUCAAAAACAACAGAUGUAGGUGGACUGUUAAAAAAAGACACGGUGUAGCCAAGCAGAAAGAGGAAAGAAGAGAAAGAGAUAGGCGGCGUGGACGGAGCUCAGCCGUGGCAGCAGCCGGAGGGGGGAGGCAGUUUGGUCUGCAGGCGAGACAAGAUGAGCUCACUGGCCCCGGCAGCGGACGGCCCGGCCGUCGGCACCUGGUUGUCGGCUCGAGCCGAAAACUGCAGUCCUUACAACAAUGAGAAGGAAUUCCUCCUUAGCAUGGUGGCUACCUGGCCCGACAGCGCCCCCUCGAGAUCAGCAGGAGCGUCGACCUGACCGACCGGCGGGUGAAGAAGCAGCUCUCCAACUGGAGGCGCGGGAUCACCUCAGGACCUGAUGGAGAAGAGGACCCACCGGAAGCUGUAAAACACAGAGGAUGAGGAAGAGCAGGGUGCAACUUGGACUCAGUCUGCCUGUCUUCUUCUAAUGGUUGUGACUGAAGAGUGAUCCUGUUACAGUACAUAUCUAAUCAGCUUACCAAUUUGAGAUGAGAUGUUGGAGCGACUACGUGUACACGUGAUAUGAGAUACUCGUCUAUGAAAACCGUCCUGACAAGAUUCCUAAAUUAAAUUCUUGUAUUUACUGACCCACAUGCCAGCUGACCUCAGGCCAUCUCUGCUUCCUCACAGUGUUCAUCAUGUGUCAUCAACUUGCUGCUUCCAAUGAUCGCAGAGCAGCCCAAGAGGAUUUCCAAACUUCUUUUUGCACCAGGGUCACACAGUUGGAUAUUCAUUAAGCCAAGCAGGAACCUGGUGCUGAAGGGAUUUUACUUGUUAGAUAUGAUUUACUGCAGCAGUCUGACCUCCUGCUGCUGGAUUCAGUCACAUGCACUCUAAUCAUUUGAUUAUAACCAGAGGAAGGAAAUACUGCAAGUCUUGCAACUGUCAUAUGAAAACCUUAACAGAGUUAUUGUACUUUGUGACAAUUAAACUGUAAUUCAAUUAACAGGGAUUUUGAUUUGUCAGUCUUUCAGAUGAACCUUGGCAUAUUUAAAACAUAUUUUGUUUUCUUUUGGUGUUUUGAUUCUGUGCCACAAAUGAGAACUGAAUGCACGGCAGAAUGUAAAAAACAGACCAGCGCGGUUAACCAAGAUUUGGGAAGAUAGUGCUGAAGCUGAUGAUGAAUCUGACACUACAAGUAAUAGAGUUUGUGCUAAUGUAUUCUGUAAAGUCAUUAUCACUAGAAACAAUAAAAAGCAGCUAAAUUCUUUCAUUU
Long non-coding RNA from Micropterus salmoides (largemouth bass), 1331 nucleotides. RefSeq lists it as uncharacterized. NCBI's taxonomy places the organism in Eukaryota, Metazoa, Chordata, Actinopteri, Centrarchiformes, Centrarchidae. The transcript is spliced from 5 exons. The record is from RefSeq and is a predicted model, not a curated record.